Molecule: long non-coding RNA, 5918 nt
Filed under: Oncorhynchus mykiss (rainbow trout)
Lineage: Eukaryota; Metazoa; Chordata; Actinopteri; Salmoniformes; Salmonidae
Description: lncRNA (ENSOMYG00000055111.1)
Source: RNAcentral
AUGUUUCGUGGUUUUCACCAUCCCGGAGAACUUCCUCGGGGCCCUGCUCCCUUAGGCUACCCACCCCAUGUACAGCCACCCGGUCCCAGCUACGGAGGGCCCUUUGGCCCGCCACCCCACGUUCCAAUGCCUGGACACUUACCUCCUGGAUCUUGUCAUCCUUUCUUACCUCCCGGAUCGGGAAGUGAAUACCUCCACAGGCCCAUGAGGGAACAUUAUAUCAAUACUCCACACUGCAGCAGUUACUCCAUUGACCGCAGCACAGUGAUCAGUCUGGGUGGUCAACAGAUUCUCCCACCAGACACACAGCAUCUUCAGAUGCCACAGUGGCCCGCCAAUCCUUUGGAAUCAUGUCAAAGAGACAAGAGUGAGAACUUGACAGCUGGGGAAGAAUUCCUCAGAUGCCUUGCAGCUAAUAAGCCAGUCCCUGACUUCCUCAAAGGAGUCAACCUGUUGGACGCAGGGAAGGCAGUCAAGGCUCCAGGUGUACCAGAAGACCGGGGUUAUGAGAGGCAGAGACUCCGGAGCAAAUCUCGCAGUCCAGCGAAGGAAAGCAGGGGCAGGAGUAAGAGCCGAGCAAAGAGCCAGGUAAGAAGCAAGAGCCGGGCAAGAAGCAAGAGCUGUCCGCGCAGCAGAAGUCGUACCCGAGGGAAAAGCCGGGCAAGAAGCAAAAGCCGACCACGAAGCAGGAGUCGCAGUCGUGGAAAGAGCCAGGUCAGAAGCAAGAGCAAGGCUCGUAGUAGGAGCCGGAGCCGAGGGAAAAGUCGGGUGAGAAGCAAAAGCAGAUCAAGGAGUAGGAGUCGCAGCUAUGGAAAGAGCCGGGGCAGAGUGGACCAUCAUUCAGACCACAGGGACAAAAGGAGCCCCAUUCGGAGCUGUAGCAGCAGGAUCAGUAAUCACUCCUCCGUACACAAUGACCUGCUCGAGGGCCUGAAACAAGUUAUGAACAGCAAGCAACUGGAGGACAGUAUGCCUUCCAUCAAGAAUGCCAUUCUCACAAUACAGGCCAAUAACUUUAGCAGAGAUAUCCAGAGCAGCAGAGCAAUCCAGAGCAACUGUCUUCCAUGUGGACCAGUCUUGGCCAGCAGACAGGAAUUUCUUCAAGCCUCAGAUGGGCCCAAGCCAGUCAGCAGACAGGAGGAGACCGACAGCAAUCUUCUCCCCCACGAGAGAGUGGGCUGUGACUUCUCCUGGCUGCAGGGCACCAGGGAGGUCUCGCCUGUUCAGAAGCUGGAGGAGGUUGAGGAUGAGGAGAACUUCCUCUAUGGGAAUGAGGAUAACCAGUCAAAACAACGCCCUGCCACCCUGCCUUUUGCACCGUCCACAUCCAUUACCCAGCAGAGCGGUGCAGAGAUCUCCCCAGCAGGCCCACCCUACUAUCAAAGCCAGCCUCUGUUCGGGAACCAUAGUGAAGUCCUGGAGUUCAAGAUGCCUCCUCAACCGGUCCAGUCCAGUGUGAGGCCUGAGCAGAGGGUGCAGCCUGUUCCUGAUGUGAGGCCCGCCCCCACUGUGAAGGAAUGUGAGGAGUUCAAGACCAUGUUGAAGAACAUUGGACUGAAUCUGGGCACAUCAGAGAUCAGUAAGAUGAUGGUCAAGCUGCAGCAACAGAAGGAGGGGAAGGUGCCAGAGCAGAAGAGGGAGGAGAAAGUGCCAUCACCAGCACCAGUGCUGCCUCUUCCUCUUGUAAUUGGGGCAUCACAGGAGCCCAGACUGGCCUCGCCAGCACUCGGGGCAGCACUUGGGACAGCACCAAUACGACAAGCAUUGGAGUCAUUACAGUUCAUUAUUAAAGCAACAAGGGAGAAAAGGGCCAAUAGUGAUCCACAUGAUGGCAACCAUUCCCAAAGGAAUUCAGACAAACAGAAGAGCAAAGAUGACGAGGAGAGUCAGAGGAGAUCGAGACAUGACCAAAUGAAAAGGAAAGAAACUCUUGUGAAGGAACUGGAGGAAUUGCUAAAGCAGGAUGGGUCUACCUUUUUGAUUCCGGUCAUCGGGUUCUACUGUCAGAGGUGUGAGGAGUUCUUCGGAGACCUGACCACUGCUGAGGACCAUGCAGCAACCCACCGGCAGAAUGAGCCUAGCAUGGCAUGUACCUAGCUACAUUGUCUCGCCCCACACAGUAACCCAACUGCAUACACUGCAUUGACCAACGAAACAGCAUAGUUAAACCAUUACGUUGUUCAACCUAGAUCACCCCUCAGUAUAAACUUUAGGUUCCUUUCCAGUCCACUUGUCUUCAGCAUCCAUAGAAAAGUCAAAUUCCCCAAAAGAUUUGUGGUAUUAUAAUCCCAAACUGUAUCUACUUGUUUCACCUUGUCUAUAGCAGCAGCAUGGAGACAGACGACCUGGAGAGGACCGAAGACACCCUAGUCAUUACAUCGGGCACCCCCUGGGUCCAGAGUGGAGGGACCAGGGAGACCCAAGAGAUCAGAGGUAUCGCAAACUAGACGAGGGCCCAAAGGGUUACAGGAACGACAGGGAGAAGAUCUACGUAAAAGAGGAACGCCCUGGAAGCCCCAGGAUAAAGAUGCAGAUGGUCCGCGGGCACACCCCACCAGGUCUGCAGAAGGCCAGGGGGAGAGAGGAGGGGAGGGUGGAUAAGGGCUCUUGUGCUGCUUCCUCUGGCCAUGCCAGUGGGAAAUAUGGUAGGGUCAAACUUGAGGUAGUGGAGACCAAAGGAAAGCCCAACGUGGAAGUAUGUGACAAAAAGGACAAAGAUAAAGGAGAAAGCAGUUCUAAUAGUGAUGACGAGAAAGACAAAUCUCCUAAAGGCAACAAAAAGAAAAAGAAGAAGGAGAAAAAGAAGAAGGAAAAGAAGAAGAAGAAGAAGGAAAAGGGUUAGAAGUAAUAGCUGCUGUACUGCAUGUCCUGGUUUGAUUGUACUGUAUCUCUGGAGGACCUGGCCUUGGGUCAUUGUUUGGCAUCAUUGCAGCUGUUUUCAGAAGUUGGUGCUUUUAAUGUUAAAAAGAAGCAGUACUCCUCUGAUUCGUUCUCUCCUUUUGGGGUUGUCUUGUUUUUCAGCAAACUGCGUUCCUCUGUGUUGUAGUGGAUAACAGCACAUUGAAUGCUGUUGGAGGACAGGCCGUUCCAGGGUGCAUAUGCAGCAUUUAUGAUGUCCAGAAUUGUUUUGCUGCCAGCUACUGAUCCUAUUGUUCAGACCUUUAGUUACUGUAGAUGUUUAUUAAAUAACCCUCUUUAUAUUGGGCCAUGUUUGUGUAUAUUUCACCCGGUACAACCUUGAUUUAGUGCUUUGAGUGUUAUCAAAUGUACUUUUUGCAUUUAAAGGUCAACUGCCAUUUGAAGCGUGUGCUGUCUUUCUUCCUAAUGUUAAACCGAUGAGAUGGAAUUGUUCUGUAAUGAAGACAUUUUUAUGCAUUGUCCUCUUAUAAUAUGUCUCAGCAAUUGAUGGCGCAAGGCUAUUUGCAAGCGCACAUGAUCUUGCCAAAGUCAUUGGAUCCUAUCAGGAUAGGAACAGUUGACAUAUUUUUGUAAGGUGAUCACUUUUUUUUCUGAUUAUAUACAUUGUUUUUGUCUGCUGUUGCUUACUCUGACUUCCUUUUUCUCACACAUUAGGCAUUUCCAUUGAUCCAGGUUUAUUUGACAAAAGCAAUGUCAGAAACGGCAGAUAUGAGACAUUUUUAUCCGUUCAAUAGGCUUCUAUUUUUCUUUUGUUGAACUUUCUUUACUGCAACUAAUGAGGGAAACUACUUUUAACUACUUUUAAGGUAUGCUGGGCAUGUGAUGUCAUCACAUAACUUUAGGCUGCACUCCUAAAUGCCUACUGCUUGCAAAAUAAGUUUUCAUUUUGAGCUAACAUGGAAUUGUUUUAAGAUGGUCAUACCAUGGAUCAUUUAGCUAUUUGAUUUUGAAUUUUAUGACCCCUUUGGGUAUCAAAAAUAUUUAGUGAUUUGAUAAAAUAUUUAAUUUCACCUCUACUAUAGCACAUAGAAACGCAUUAAAUAACACAUUAAUAAAUGUCAUAAAAGACAGUAAAAAAAUAGAUCACAUGGAAUAAGGUUUUAAAGUGUCUGUCCUAGAUAUACGAAAGCUCAAGAAAUAGUUCAGUUUAGAAAGUAUUCAUUCCCCUUGACUUAUUCCACAUUUUGUUGUGCCUGAAUUAAACAAAACUAAAAAUUCUCACCCAUCUACACACAAUACCCCAUACUGACAAAGUGAAAACAUGUUUUUAGAAAUGUGCAAAUUUAUUGAAAAUGAAAUACAGAAAUGUCUCAUUUACAUGCACUACAGUUCAAAAGUUUGGGGUCACUUAGAAAUGUCCUUGUUUUUAAAAAGCACUUUUUUGUCCAUUAAAAUAACAUCAAAUUGAUCCGAAAUACAAUGUAGACAUUGUUCAUGUUGUAAAUGACUAUUGUAGCUGGAAACGGCAGAUUUUUAAUGAAAUAUCUACAUAGGCGUACAGAGGCCCAUUAUCAGCAACCAUCACUCCUGUGUUCAAAUGGCACGACUCCAGGAUGCUGGCCUUCUAGGCAGAGUUCCUCUGCCCAGUGUCUUGUUUUUCCUAUCUUAAUCUUUUCUUUUUAUUUGCCAGUCUGAGAUAUGGAUUUUUCCUUGCAUUUCUGCCUAGGCCAUCAUCCCUGAGUCGCCUCUUCACUGUUGACGUUGAGACUGGUGUUUUGCGGGUACUAUUUAAUGAAGCUGCUAGUUGAGGACUUGUGAGGUGUCUGUUUCUCAAACUAGACACUAAUGUACUUGUCCUCUUGCUCAGUUGUGCAUUGGGGCCUCCCACUCCUUUCUAUUCUGGUUAGAGACCGUUUGCGCUGUUCUGUGAAAGGAGUAGUACACAGCGUUGUACGAGAUCUUCAGUUUCUUGGCAAUUUCUCGCAUGGAAUAGCCUUCAUUUUUCAGAACAAGAAUAGACUGAUGCGUUUCAGAAGAAAGUACUUUGUUUCUGGCCAUUUUGAGCCUGUAAUCGAACCCACAAAUGCUGAUGCAGAAGGCCAGUUUUAUUGCGUCUUUAAUCAGAACAACCGUUUUCAGCUGUACUAAUAUAAUUGCAAAAGGGUUUUCUAAUGAUCAAUUAGCCUUUUAAAAUGAUACACUUGGAUUAGCUAACACAAUGUGCCAUUGGAGCACUGGAGUGAUGGUUGCUGAUAAUGGGCAUCUGUACGCCUAUGUAGAUAUUUCAUAAAAAUCUGCUGUUUCCAGCUACAAUCGUCAUUUACAACAUUAACAAUGUCUACACUGUAUUUCUGAUCAAUUUGGUGUUAUUUUAAUUGACAAAAAAAUGUGCUUUUCUUUCAAAAAACGAGAACAUUUCUAAGUGUUUGAACGGUAGUCUAAGUAUUCACACCUGAGUCAAUACAUGUUAGAUUCACCUUUGGCACCGAUUACAGCUGUGAGUCUUUCUGGGUAAGUCUCUAAAGGCUUGUUCACAUAAACAAUUUGAAGUGACUCAUCUGUUCUUUUUCCUGCAGUCUGAACAGCCAAAAAGCACAUGGAAUUGGAUAUUUCAAGCCACACAAGGGUAGUAUUAAGUCAGAGAAAAAAAUGAUUCCUGGCCAUGUGACUUGUCUGAAUGGUCAAAUCUGAUUCAUUUCUGGUUUUUAGACUGCUAUUCAGCUUAUCUUGUUGCUUGUUUGCUACUCUGUUGACAGUUUGACAAGAACAUGUGGUAGCUAACUAGCUUGAUAAUUGUUUACAACAAAUUAGUGUGUGCUUUAUAGCUAAACCGCUGGCUAGCUAGUUUACUACUGUGGCUAACCAAAAAGGACUUGUUUUGAAAGUUGGAUCAUCUUAUCCUUUGAGGCUUUAAAAAUGUUCUUACCCUAUGAUUUUGAAGAUUCAAAGCAACUGGGAAAUGUCCAUGGCAGGCAUUGUUGUCAUGUUAACUUGCUCCAUAACUUUUGAGUGACAGGAAGCAAAAGCACCACCACCAAUCAGCCUGCACCACUGCACAC